GAUGAACGCUGACAGAAUGCUUAACACAUGCAAGUCAACUUGAAUUUGGGUUUUUAACUUAAGUUUGGGUGGCGGACGGGUGAGUAACGCGUAAAGAACUUGCCUCACAGCUAGGGACAACAUUUGGAAACGAAUGCUAAUACCUAAUAUUAUGAUAAUAGGGCAUCCUAUAAUUAUGAAAGCUAUAAGCGCUGUGAGAGAGCUUUGCGUCCCAUUAGCUAGUUGGAGAGGUAACGGCUCACCAAGGCGAUGAUGGGUAGCCGACCUGAGAGGGUGAUCGGCCACAAGGGGACUGAGACACGGCCCUUACUCCUACGGGAGGCAGCAGUGGGGAAUAUUGGACAAUGGACCAAGAGUCUGAUCCAGCAUUUCUGUGUGCACGAUGAAGUUUUUCGGAAUGUAAAGUGCUUUCUGUUGGGAAGAAAGAUAUGACGGUACCAACAGAAGAAGUGACGGCUAAAUACGUGCCAGCAGCCGCGUUAAUACGUAUGUCACGAUCGUUAUUCGGAUUUAUUUGGGCGUAAAGCGCUUCUAGGUGGUUAUGUAAGUCUGGAUGUGAAAAUGCAGGGCUCAACUCUGUUUGCUUUGGUAACUGUAUACUAGAGUACUGGAGAUGUAACCGUAUCUACUAGUGUUUGUUGAAAUUCGUAUAUUUUGUAUGAAUGCUGAUGUGUAAGACAUCUUCUGGACUGAUAUUGCGCUGAUGUGUGGAUAGUGUGUGGUAUCUAACUUGGUUAUAUCCCUUGGUGGUCUAGGGGGUUUUCUUAUUGUAUAUCAGUUUUUGUGAUCCGUCGCUCUCCUGGGUUGUUCUGUAAAAAAAAUAAUUAAUGUUGUCGUGGUUUUUACCUUGCUGUAGUCUGUUUUUGUGCUGGUUGGUUG
Molecule: ribosomal RNA, 879 nt
Filed under: uncultured Actinomyces sp.
Lineage: Bacteria; Bacillati; Actinomycetota; Actinomycetes; Actinomycetales; Actinomycetaceae
Description: bacterial SSU rRNA
Rfam family: Bacterial small subunit ribosomal RNA (bases 1-745)
Source: RNAcentral